This 28-nucleotide non-coding RNA is filed under the name Bombyx mori (domestic silkworm). The record is from RNAcentral. Lineage: Eukaryota; Metazoa; Arthropoda; Insecta; Lepidoptera; Bombycidae.
UACAACUAGAACCGCCGACUUCAUGCCC